RNAcentral lists this ribosomal RNA (506 nucleotides) under uncultured bacterium. RNAcentral describes it as "partial 16S ribosomal RNA". The stretch from base 20 to 332 matches the Rfam family "Bacterial small subunit ribosomal RNA", at positions 47 to 358 of the family's 1533-position model. The record is from RNAcentral.
GACGAACGCUGGCGGCGCGCCUAACACAUGCAAGUCGAACGAGCGAGAGAGAGCUUGCUUUCUUGAGCGAGUGGCGAACGGGUGAGUAACGCGUGAGGAACCUGCCUCAAAGAGGGGGGCAACAGUUGGAAACGACUGCUAAUACCGCAUAAGCCCACGACCCGGCAUCGGGUUGAGGGAAAAGGAGCAAUCCGCUUUGAGAUGGCCUCGCGUCCGAUUAGCUAGUUGGUGAGGUAACGGCCCACCAAGGCGACGAUCGGUAGCCGGACUGAGAGGUUGAACGCAAAAGUAGGGAAGGGACAAGGGCAGGGACUACGGGGGGAGGAAGUGAGGGGGAAUGGAGCAAAGGGGGAGAAACCAGGAGGGGGGGGCGGGAGGUGGAGAAAGGAGGUGGUGGUAGUGAAAACUAGUGUUGAUGGAGAAGAUAAAGAAGGAAAAAAAAAAGGAAGAGAGGCAAAACGAAGUGCAAGAAACAGUAAAAAAAGACGAAGACAAAACGGAUAAAA